Nelumbo nucifera (sacred lotus) is the source of this 2222-nucleotide non-coding RNA. NCBI's taxonomy places the organism in Eukaryota, Viridiplantae, Streptophyta, Magnoliopsida, Proteales, Nelumbonaceae. The record is from RefSeq and is a predicted model, not a curated record.
UCCCUCUCUCUCUCCCUCUCGUUCUUGCCCUUGCUCACAGAAACAGAAACAGAAACCUCGAAAAUCUUCACCGUGAAUAGACUCUCAACCUCUGUUGCAAGUAUGAAUAUGUUGAUCUGGAAUGAAUUCCAAUUGAGGAAGUGUUCAAGCACUUGAAAUGUACCAAUGUUUAACCACGGAGGAAGGAGACAAUAGGCUUCAAAUCUUCGAGAUUGGCAGGACUUCGUUGCUUCUAAGGUUUUUCUUCGUUUACGGCAUGCGAAGACCUUCAACGAAAGAGGCAAUCUGGUCAAUCAUUUUCAAUGCUUUUUUUCCAAUGGGAGAGAAGCAAUCCAACUGCCAUUUUUCUAAUUAGGGGUUUCCGUAGAUAGGAAGAAAACCCAGGUUUUAAUAGGUGUAUGCUAUUGUUGGUUGCUCUUGCGCAUUUGGUGUUGGUAUGCUAAUCAUUGGUAAUUUUUUUUUUUAUUUCAUCUUUGUUGUUAUCUAAGUAUGUUAUUUUUCUGCUAUGUGAUUUGUAAUGCUUUUCUAGCGUUCUUGGUUGUUAACUAAGUAUGGUAUUUUUCUUGCACUGCAUUUUGGAACGACUGUGUGGGUUAUCUAGGCUUGGUGGUAAUGGUAUUGCCACUGCUCACUAACUCCUCUAUUAUCUCGUAGCUCUGCCACCACCGGUCAAUUGCAUUGCAUAUGUUUUUUCCCUUUUUUCUGGUAGAGAUUUUGUUUGCUCUGUUUUUCUUUGGCGACAAUGUGUUCUGUUUGUAUUUUCUUGUUUGCUUCUUGGUUGCUAACUUAGGGUUUUUGUGUUACAGUAAUUUACAGUUUCUUUGCUCAGAUUUUGCUUUGUGUGACUUUAUUGGCAGGGUUAUGGUGUCAUACUUUUCAUUGUUACUUGAUUCAGUUCUAACCUAGUUCCACUUUGUUGGUGGUUGUUGGCAAAUAUAGAUCUUUGCGUAUUUUUCUUUUAGUUCUUUGUUUUUCCUUGUCUUCCUUUGCUUCUUUUUUUUUUGGUUUUUUCCUUUUCAUUUUAACAGGAAGUUUAUUUGGCAUUUACUUCCUCAGCAUUGGUCCUCCAAUAGGUGUUGAUCGUUUAGGUAAUUGGGUUAAUGAUAUAAAAGAGGAGAACAGUCUUUUGGGUAACAAGAUGAGAGAGUUGCACUUACUGUUGUGUUAGUUGAAUCACCAUUAGACUGUCCACCUGGAGAAGAAGCUCCAUUAGAUGCAUAUCCACCUAUCAACACCAAGGCUAAUUAAGGAAAAUAUGAUAAGACUUUUGUAUAUGAAUAUGGAUUAGAAGCAGUAGGUUAGAGAAAUAAUGUUAUUAGUUUCCACAUCAUAAUUGUGUCUUCAAUCAGCAAUAAUGAGGGAUGAAUAACAAUAAUACAAGAUGGUUCUGAUUUUAUAUCAAAUACAUAAUACUUCAUAACAUGAACCUAAAUCAAACAACCAAAGCAUGGAGAAACAAAACAAGAUUGAAACCUAUCAAAGAAAAAGACUAAAGAGAGGAUAUGAAGACAAUUUCAUUUCAUGACAAUGCUUCCAUUAGUUUGAAUAGUGGAUAUUUUGAUCUUGAACGGCAAUGUUCUGUACCAAGAGAAAAAACUAUAAUAGCAUUGUUCAACAUUCUCUAUUAUCUCUCACUGGACUUCCCCAAUGUACACAAGUUUUGAGAAAACAUGUUCAAUCUAUAACAACUAUAGCAAAAAGACCUAAUUCUUGGAAAAUCUAGGCCUGGCCAAAAAUAACACAAGGUAGUGAGGUAUAUUUUCUAUCACUAUCAUAGUAAGAAAUGAUUUGAGAACUCAAUUUAAUAUAUAGGGGUGGAAUGGUAAAAACCGGAUUUGACUAGCUGAGCCCAUAUAGUUGGGACAAUGCUUCUUUGAGUUGAGUGGAAUACCUCAACCAUGGGCCAGCCCAUAGAGGUUCUAAAUUUGAUAUAUUCUCCAUUAGAUAAUAUGGAACAAGACCUUCCAUUGCCUUUUGUUUCUUCGGAUGUAUAUAAGCUCAACGCUCAGUGGUCAGCAAUCGGUAUUGAUAAAAGUAGGAUUUUAUCCCAGACUUCAAUUAAGCUGGCUGCAAUCUACACCUUCCAUUUAUAUCAUUCUUUAAAACUUAGUUGCAAACCAAUGAAAAAGAAAAAAGAAAAAAAAAAAACCUUAAAGCCACACCUGUCCUCAAAUCUCAAAUAAAUAUACAAAAAGCAUUACCCUACAAGUAAUGCAAAAGCA